This 477-nucleotide ribosomal RNA is filed under the name uncultured bacterium. Its description in RNAcentral is "bacterial SSU rRNA". It matches the Rfam family "Bacterial small subunit ribosomal RNA", at positions 365 to 832 of the family's 1533-position model. The record is from RNAcentral.
UUCGCAAUGCCCGAAAGGGUGACGAAGCGACGCCGCGUGUGGGAAGAAGGCCUUCGGGUUGUAAGCCACUGUCGGGAGUUAAGAAAUGUAAGAAUGUUAAUAGCAUUCUUACUUGACUAAGGCUCCGGAGGAAGCCACGGCUAACUCUGUGCCAGCAGCCGCGGUAAUACAGAGGCGGCAAGCGUUGUCCGGAAUUAUUGGGCGUAAAGAGCACGUAGGCGGCUAUGUAAGUCGGUUGUGAAAGCCUUCCGCUCAACGGGAGAACGGCAGCAGAUACUGCAUAGCUAGAGUGCGGGAGGGGAGAGUGGAACUUCUGGUGGAGCGGUGAAAUGCGUAGAUAUCAGAAGGAACGCCGGCGGCGAAAGCGACUCUCUGGCCCGUAACUGACGCUGAGUGUGCGAAAGCUAGGGGAGCAAACGGGAUUAGAUACCCCGGUAGUCCUAGCCGUAAACGAUGGGCACUAAGUAGAGGGGUUUU